GUAGAUACAGGAAGCCGCUGCUAAGGUGGCCUCAGAGAGGAACCGGUGUGGUGAACUCCUGGCAUGCGCAGGUGACAAGAGGUUCCGCAGGAAUGAAUGGAGUCUCUACACAUCAAAUCGUGUGUCUUGACUACUCAGGAUGUCAAGGGCAAAGGUUGUUCUACAGUGCCUUGCUUCUGAUUGUGCUGUCAACCUUCUCAGUCCCUGGGUUGGACCUAGGACAACAGGCCAGCCUUUGGUUAGCAUCAGCAGCUGAGUGGAGACUCGUCUCCAAGCAUCAAGGAUGUGAAAAUGUGAUCUUGUUGGGGAUAGUGGGAGCUUGGGGGAUGGGUUCCUUUGUACUUCUCUCAAGGUCUCCUGGUCCCUCCCUGUGUGUUUGUGGGCGCCACAGACAGCCUCACAAUCAGGAUGAGUGGUAACGGGACAGUCAAACACAAUGAAGGGAAUCAUUGUCUCACGAGAGUCAGAACAUCUGUUCCUCCCACCGCACCUGGGCGAAGGCCAAAUAAUCAAAAGAAGGAAACAGGAUCUGCCAACAACGCACUUUACCUUGAGUCUUUGUGUAGAGAAUACCUUCUCCAAGUAGGCGCCUUUCAUUGGCUCAGAUUUUCCCAUCUCAGUUGUCAUUAUAACUGAAAGCUAUUGUAGCUCAUAAUUUCACAUUGUCCUUUCAAAUAGAAGCAUCGCCAAGCAGAUGUGAACAAUUAUCUUCAAUUGUGAUUUUUUUUCCAUUAAAUUUCUAAAGGAAUACCUAA
RNAcentral lists this long non-coding RNA (755 nucleotides) under Mus musculus (house mouse). RNAcentral describes it as "RIKEN cDNA 5830428M24 gene". The record is from RNAcentral. Lineage: Eukaryota; Metazoa; Chordata; Mammalia; Rodentia; Muridae.